RNAcentral lists this ribosomal RNA (1319 nucleotides) under Salmonella enterica. RNAcentral's name for it is "partial 23S ribosomal RNA". It matches the Rfam family "Bacterial large subunit ribosomal RNA", at positions 1505 to 2802 of the family's 2925-position model. RNAcentral also lists the same sequence under 1 other name. Lineage: Bacteria; Pseudomonadati; Pseudomonadota; Gammaproteobacteria; Enterobacterales; Enterobacteriaceae. The record is from RNAcentral.
UCCCGGUUUAAGCGUGUAGGUGUGUGUUCCAGGUAAAUCCGGUUCACUUUAACACUGAGGCGUGACGACGAGGCACUACGGUGCUGAAGCAACAAAUGCCCUGCUUCCAGGAAAAGCCUCUAAGCAUCAGGUAACACGAAAUCGUACCCCAAACCGACACAGGUGGUCAGGUAGAGAAUACCAAGGCGCUUGAGAGAACUCGGGUGAAGGAACUAGGCAAAAUGGUGCCGUAACUUCGGGAGAAGGCACGCUGACACGUAGGUGAAGUGAUUUACUCAUGGAGCUGAAGUCAGUCGAAGAUACCAGCUGGCUGCAACUGUUUAUUAAAAACACAGCACUGUGCAAACACGAAAGUGGACGUAUACGGUGUGACGCCUGCCCGGUGCCGGAAGGUUAAUUGAUGGGGUCAGCGUAAGCGAAGCUCCUGAUCGAAGCCCCGGUAAACGGCGGCCGUAACUAUAACGGUCCUAAGGUAGCGAAAUUCCUUGUCGGGUAAGUUCCGACCUGCACGAAUGGCGUAAUGAUGGCCAGGCUGUCUCCACCCGAGACUCAGUGAAAUUGAACUCGCUGUGAAGAUGCAGUGUACCCGCGGCAAGACGGAAAGACCCCGUGAACCUUUACUAUAGCUUGACACUGAACAUUGAGCCUUGAUGUGUAGGAUAGGUGGGAGGCUUUGAAGUGUGGACGCCAGUCUGCAUGGAGCCGACCUUGAAAUACCACCCUUUAAUGUUUGAUGUUCUAACGUGGACCCGUAAUCCGGGUUGCGGACAGUGUCUGGUGGGUAGUUUGACUGGGGCGGUCUCCUCCUAAAGAGUAACGGAGGAGCACGAAGGUUGGCUAAUCCUGGUCGGACAUCAGGAGGUUAGUGCAAUGGCAUAAGCCAGCUUGACUGCGAGCGUGACGGCGCGAGCAGGUGCGAAAGCAGGUCAUAGUGAUCCGGUGGUUCUGAAUGGAAGGGCCAUCGCUCAACGGAUAAAAGGUACUCCGGGGAUAACAGGCUGAUACCGCCCAAGAGUUCAUAUCGACGGCGGUGUUUGGCACCUCGAUGUCGGCUCAUCACAUCCUGGGGCUGAAGUAGGUCCCAAGGGUAUGGCUGUUCGCCAUUUAAAGUGGUACGCGAGCUGGGUUUAGAACGUCGUGAGACAGUUCGGUCCCUAUCUGCCGUGGGCGCUGGAGAACUGAGGGGGGCUGCUCCUAGUACGAGAGGACCGGAGUGGACGCAUCACUGGUGUUCGGGUUGUCAUGCCAAUGGCACUGCCCGGUAGCUAAAUGCGGAAGAGAUAAGUGCUGAAAGCAUCUAAGCACGAAACUUGCCCCGA